Molecule: long non-coding RNA, 1778 nt
Organism: Macaca mulatta (Rhesus monkey)
Lineage: Eukaryota; Metazoa; Chordata; Mammalia; Primates; Cercopithecidae
Source: Ensembl
UUUUAAAUGCAAUAUUUAAUGCUGUCAGAUUACUUGAAGACAAAGUUUUACAGAAAACUUUAAAUUUCAGAAAAAAAACUGCAAUGUACCAAUAAACACCUAGAAAAUAAUAUAAUUAAAAAAUUUAAAGCAUCAAACAACCUCAAGAUCUCGUCAGGAAUAAUGAACAAGGCAUUUUGCGUUCACAUCGGCUAGCAAUUUGCAUCCCAGUUCACGCGGGGGAGGGUGAUGGUCGAUAUUUCUCUCUGUGUGUGAGAAUCCAGCACAAUUAUUUUGCCCGUUUUCCCAAGAGAAAGAAACCAGAGGGAGGGGCAGAGGAUGGACGGAGGGGGCUCGGCUGCAGUACGUUUUGGUUCAGCGAUUGUGUUUCCUUGAAACACAUUUAGAUAAAUUCUGCUCGAAAUCUUUAUUGCUGGGGAAUUGGGAAACCCGUGACCUGCCCUGGUCUUUGUCCCUCAUCCAUGGCCUGGUCCCGGGUCCCGCCACUGGGGUCUUCUCUUCCUCCUCCCUCCUCUGGACCAAAGUGGCGCAGACGCCCAGCCAGGUGGAAGGCGUCCCGCUUGCAGCAAGGUAGCUCAGCAGCCUCAGCCGCCCGCAGUGAAACAGCCGGAGCAAAAGAUACUUUUAUUUCUCGGCCCGUAUUAACACUUCAGCUCUACAAAAUAACCUAUAGGUUUUAACUUCCUUCUCUUCCAUUGAAAAAGGUUCCUUGAAAAUCCUGUCCUCCCAUUCCCCGGGGCUCCCUUACUUUUAGUUCAUACAGAUAAUUUCCCUUUCAGAUUUCCUCAUUGCAUUUUGAACUCAUAAAACAUGCACAUAAAAAUAGCAUGUUUCAAAUUUAUGGGGAAAAUGGGCUCUGUCUCUUAAAUUUGUUUACUCAAAACAUUUUGAGUGGGGGGUCUUUUUUCGUUUUAAGAAGAAAGGCUUUUUAGGAAACUAUGUACAUAAUCUGAAUUCUCCUCCCCGCAUUACAACGCCGAAAAUAAAAUUUUCACAAUGCAUUUACAAGAAAUAAUACAAAAUCAAAAAAAAAAAUGGAAACGCUCAGAUACAGAAAGUUUUACAAAACCCAGAAUAUAACUCCGCCGUCUGAAGGAGGGGGUGGUGGUGGUAAUCUCUUUGUAUAAAUUAACAAACCAACCCAAAAGAGCGGUAACAACUACAAAAAACUUGUAAGUGCUUGGACCUGCCUUACUACAUUUAUAACAAACGCGACGAGCUCCGCGUCACUUGGGCUCGGGCGGUCGGCGCCGUCCGGAAGCAACGCAGGGGAAAGUGAGCGCGCCGGCCGGUAUACAAAAGUGGGCUUCGCCUCUCGCCUCGUUUUGACUUUUUUGUCCCCUCGAGCAAAGAAAACGCUUUCCGCCUCCUCCGUAGGUGAUAAAUACUGUACAAAAAGUCUCAAGAAAACACUGAAGUUCAGUCUAAAACGCAAGUCUGGUGUCAGCGCCCGGCGGUCGCCAGGGGCUCCUGGGAAUGUGAGUGGGGGACACGCGUCACCCGGCGUUCGUCUCCAGUGUUUUCCUUUUGACAAGAACAUGGAAACGUCUGUACAAAAGCCAGGCUCCGGUGGGGGGGGGAGGAGGCCCGGGGGGGCCCGGAGGGGGCGAUUACGGUGCAGCCAGGGAGGGGCCCGGGGACAGCAGGAGGAGCGCGGGCUCGUGGAGAGGGCCGGAGAGCCGGGGCCGCCGAGCCCGGGAUGGGCUGCCGGCUGCCUGCCCGGGGCCGUGCGCUCGGAGCGGAGGCGCACGCGGGGCCGGCGGCGCGCGGGGCCCAGC